UACAGAGGGUGCAAGCGUUGUCCGGAAUUACUGGGCGUAAAGCGUGCGCAGGCGGUUCGCUAAGACAGAUGUGAAAUCCCCGGGCUUAACCUGGGAACUGCAUUUGUGACUGGCGGGCUAGAGUAUGGCAGAGGGGGGUAGAAUUCCACGUGUAGCAGUGAAAUGCGUAGAUAUCAGGAGGAACACCGAUGGCGAAGGCAGGUCUCUGGGCUGACACUGACGCUCAUGCACGAAAGCGUGGGGAGCAAACAGG
This 253-nucleotide ribosomal RNA is filed under the name uncultured bacterium. RNAcentral's name for it is "partial 16S ribosomal RNA". It matches the Rfam family "Bacterial small subunit ribosomal RNA", at positions 524 to 776 of the family's 1533-position model. The record is from RNAcentral.